UGGGGAGAUACAGCGCUUCACCAGUCAUAGUGUGAAAACUUCCAUUUGGAAAUCUGGGAGCAGUUCUUAAGUCAAAAAACAGACCUGGAAUCACAGUAUCCAUACAUACCAGUUGGAGGACAAAAGACAUUGCCCCAGAGACCAGAGGCACCAAAAUACACUACACCUAGCUACCUGAGAAUGCCUCUAGCUGGCAACUCCAGCAAAGGCCCUUUUCCCCAUCCUUGACCAUCUUGAGUGAAAGCAAAGAACUGAAAGAUUGAAAAAUCUGAGACUGAGCGUUCCUUCCUGGAGAGACUCGUACCAUAUCAACCAGAUUGGAUAUGUAUUUAUUUUUCUUUUCUGCCAUUCAGCAUGUGGCAAAGACCCAUUUAGUUAUAAACAAAAUAAAAGAGGUUGUAUUUAUAAAAUUUUGCACAUCUAAGUUGUAGUAUGUAUUAAGUUUGUAUCCUUGUUAUAUGUGAUUCCCUGCUGUGGCCCAGCAGAUAAUAUAAACACUGUAUUUUAUAGACCCCAAAUUUAAUACUGGAAUCUUAAGCAAACAAAGUCUUUCUCACACAUUUUAUCGUAUUUGUCACUAAAAGUCCUUUGUCUCCAGAACAUCAAUCUGGGUACUGUUCCUAAGAACCCAAUUGGUACAACUUUUUGGAGUUAAUAAAAUUGUAUUCCCACUGGUUUCCAUUGCUGUUUUGUGCACAAUUCCCCACUGAGUAUUUGAUGAAUUUCUACUCCUUGGGGGCCCCAUUUUUUGUGUGAGUUUGCUGAGGAUCCAUGCGUCUUGUCACAGGGAGGAAGAUGAUUUCCUCUGAUAACAUUCCCCUGGUACCUGAGGAGCUUAUCACAGCCCUUUAUUUGGCUGUUUCUGUUAUGUUGGCAUGCGUCCAGAGCAAUGGGAAAGAAAAGGUUGUGCUUUUACAGGGAACAUUUUAUUCCCUCUUGGGAAAAGUGAACAUGACUCAAUGUCAGGAAGGGAAAUUUUUCAUUCAGAUAAAGAGAAUGAACAUCCGCCUACCUCUUUUAAUAGUUAAAACACAUUUACGGUCCGUUUGCAUUUUGUUUUCUUGAAGAGCUCAAAUUAUUUUAGAAAAUCUGAUUUAUUGAAACCAGACCUGCACCAGCUUGUUUUGUGUGUGAAGAGGGA
RNAcentral lists this long non-coding RNA (1141 nucleotides) under Homo sapiens (human). RNAcentral describes it as "HSALNT0125505". Lineage: Eukaryota; Metazoa; Chordata; Mammalia; Primates; Hominidae. The record is from RNAcentral.